AAGGGGAUCUCGAUUGCACUUCCAGCUGAAGGAAAAAGUGUAGAUCUCCUUCUUCUCUACGCAAAGACCUCGAUUUCCAAAAGAAAAAGGUAAAUAUCCAUCCCUAUCUAGUCUUUUGAUGAUAUUAGGCUAUACAAAGGGUGGAUGUAGUCUAGAGGGGUCAGAUAAGGGUUGUAGAGGUGGUUAAAAGAGGAACAAUCGGAUUUCGACAAAUUUUUCCGGCAUUACGGAAAAACUGUGUCGAAGUCCCAACUUCGGCGAAUUAUUUCAGGGGUCAAACGGCCUCCGAUAGUGAUGCAUAUUACUAUUCUGGAAUCCUCUAUGAGUGUAGAAUGUUAGGUAAAAAUUUCAUCAAAUUUGGAGUCCUAAAAGUGGAUCAAAACCGGGAUGAAGUAACCCAUUGUCAGUCCGGGUUACUGUUCAUCCGGGUGGAAAAUAAGGGAUUUCAUGCUAUAAUAGAGUAUUAAGCCUAGAUCAAGCUAAAAGGGACCUUGUACUCAUGCAAGGGAGUCCAUCAUACACAUAAAUGGUGAGUUAAUUAAUUAAAAAGAAAAAGAGAAAGAAAAAAAAGAUUUAGGGAACGGGGGAGUUGAAUCAAUUAAAGUUUCCUAUAUUAUAAUUGGCACGUAGAUUAUGGCCCUUGAUACAAGACUAAAUGUAUUGUAAAUGCAUGUCACAGUUGGGCAAGAAGCUAGGGAACAAGAGGAAGAAGUUUUCCACUGCAUGCUGUAGAUUUUUGGAGGCGUAUCAGGGCUGUGCCGGAUUGACAGGUGAGUGGGAGUCAUGUACUUUGCACCAUGAGCAUCCUUAAUUUAUUUCCAUGAAUGUUGCCAAGUGUGACUUGAUUCCACCUGAGCUUAUUGAUUAAUUGUUGUAGUAGAUUCCUCUAUAAUCUUGAUUCUCUAUGCUUGAUUAUUCUGUACAUGCAUUUGCGGGAACAUUGAGAGGAAUUAUGAAGGGUUGAUGAGUAAUCAAAUUGAUUCCGAAUUAUGAAAUGAUUUCUUUUGUAAAUUGACUUCAUUUCCUCUAUUUCAAAGACUUGUGAGUGGUAGUCUUGAUUAUGCUCCUUUUUAGUAGAGUAUUGGGAGGGUGCAUUAUGGCAUUUAUGCAUGGCUUGGCAGUAUCUGCAGGACACCUAUAGUCGAUGGGGUUGAACAUCGGCCUUUGUGCACAUAGUAGCCUUCUGGGUGGGCGGAGCCCAGUCCCUUCCUAGGGGGGACACGGCCCUAGGCGUAGGAUC
RNAcentral lists this long non-coding RNA (1240 nucleotides) under Phoenix dactylifera (date palm). RNAcentral's name for it is "long non-coding RNA (PDAC_LNC015330)". The record is from RNAcentral. Lineage: Eukaryota; Viridiplantae; Streptophyta; Magnoliopsida; Arecales; Arecaceae.